RNAcentral lists this ribosomal RNA (484 nucleotides) under uncultured bacterium. RNAcentral's name for it is "partial 16S ribosomal RNA". It matches the Rfam family "Bacterial small subunit ribosomal RNA", at positions 30 to 507 of the family's 1533-position model. The record is from RNAcentral.
AUUGAACGCUGGCGGCAGGCCUAACACAUGCAAGUCGAGCGGAUGAAGGGAGCUUGCUCCUGGAUUCAGCGGCGGACGGGUGAGUAAUGCCUAGGAAUCUGCCUGGUAGUGGGGGAUAACGUCCGGAAACGGGCGCUAAUACCGCAUACGUCCUGAGGGAGAAAGUGGGGGAUCUUCGGACCUCACGCUAUCAGAUGAGCCUAGGUCGGAUUAGCUAGUUGGUGGGGUAAAGGCCUACCAAGGCGACGAUCCGUAACUGGUCUGAGAGGAUGAUCAGUCACACUGGAACGGAGACACGGUCCAGACUCCUACGGGAGGCAGCAGUGGGGAAUAUUGGGCAAUGGGCGAAAGCCUGAUCCAGCCAUGCCGCGUGUGUGAAGAAGGUCUUCGGAUUGUAAAGCACUUUAAGUUGGGAGGAAGGGCAGUAAGUUAAUACCUUGCUGUUUUGACGGUACCAACAGAAUAAGCACCGGCUAACUUCGUG